RNAcentral lists this long non-coding RNA (1409 nucleotides) under Anolis carolinensis (green anole). RNAcentral's name for it is "lncRNA (ENSACAG00000043648.1)". Lineage: Eukaryota; Metazoa; Chordata; Lepidosauria; Squamata; Anolidae. The record is from RNAcentral.
UGCAGCACGAGUGGGGGCUUCCUUCUCUGGUGCAGAGGUCGCUCUGGGGCUUCAUGGGAGAAACCCCCACAGUGGUCCCUCAUCCUCAGACCAAGGUUCAGGCUGACAUCGUAUCUCAGGAACUGCUUUUCCUUCCAAGGAGCGUCUGCCACCACCUGGAGGUCCACCUCCAGAAAAUGAAGUUGUGCCACAAGUGGGGCCUGCCCCAGAGAAUCCUCGAGUCCACAAAACACUUCCUCCCCAUCGCUUCCACGGGAAGAGUUCCAAAUCCCCAUAGGGCCAAGGGAAAGGACUCUUUUGGGGAAGAAUCCAGCACCGGGGAAGCUCAGGUGGAGCACGUAAAGCGGAUGCAGGGCAAGGGGACACCUUUGCAAAAGAGAAGUGGCAUGAGUGGCCCUUUCAGGAGAAGUACAUACACGACCCAUCAAAAGGAUGUGGAAUUCCAGCCAGUGGGUGACUUUGGGAUGUCUGCCGUCUUUCCCAGGAAACCCCUUCUGCCCCUUGCCUCUCUUUCACAAGAUGAAAAGGGCAUUCCUCACACACAGCUCCCACAGCGUCCCUGCAGCCAUGUUCUCCCAGGGGCCACAUAUUACAGCCACAGCGAAGCAGGUGGGCCGCCAGACCCAAUCACCAGAACAAGACGAGUUCCACCCCAGAGACACUCAACAGUGGAUGGCAGUGAUGACAACCAUCUUCUCCUCAGGCCAAGAGGGCAUCCUAUGGAGGUAGCCCCAGAUGUGGGAUGUCACAAGGGCAUCACAGGGGCCAAGUUCCUUCCAGAGAAAGCCUGGCAAUUCCUGGAACUCCACAUCCGAGACAAACGAAUCCAGCAUGAGUGGAGACUACCUUCCCUUGUUCGGCGAUCCCUGCGGGCUUUUGCCCCACUCCCACAUGGAACCCAGAGAAACACGAAGGCUGGAGGGGCACUGCAAGACACUUCUGGAAAAGGAGGCAACAAGACUCUCCGGGAGCAACAGACCUCCGUGUUAGAAGACUACCUGGCUUCGUACCAGCUUCGGCAUCUUCUGGAUGAGGAACUGCAGCACUGCCUGGAAACACAUGUCAGGGACUGGGUCGUGGAGCACAAGUGGGCCCUUCCCAAGCAGAUCCAGGACCUGGUGAAGGCCAUUCCAGCUCCUCAACCACAGGAGCCCAUCAUGGGAGGAAUAAGGGUUCAGCAUGGAUCCUCCCAAGGGCAGGGCUUCCACUCCCGCUCUAAUGGAAAAGGAGACUCGGUGCCACUUCCUGUCCAGUCGAGGAGAAGAGCCCCUGAAAGGCCAAAGGAGCCCAUCCGGAAAGAGACACCAGGAGCAAAGGGUGGAGGGGUAGCCAUCACCUCUUUGGAGGCCAAACCCUCAUUCCUCACAGAAGGAGCCUGGGACCUCUUGGAAUUCCAUGUUGCAAGCAAG